CUCAGUUCGGACUGGAGUCUGCAACCCGACUCCACGGAAGCUGGAUUCGCUAGUAAUCGCGCAUCAGCCACGGCGCGGUGAAUACGUUCCCGGGCCUUGUACACACCGCCCGUCAAGCCAUGGGAGCCGGGGGUACCUGAAGUGCGUAACCGCGAGGAGCGCCCUAGGGUAAAACUGGUGACUGGGGCUAAGUCGUAACAAGGUAAC
Molecule: ribosomal RNA, 207 nt
Filed under: uncultured bacterium
Lineage: Bacteria
Description: partial 16S ribosomal RNA
Rfam family: Bacterial small subunit ribosomal RNA
Source: RNAcentral